This 274-nucleotide ribosomal RNA is filed under the name uncultured bacterium. Its description in RNAcentral is "partial 16S ribosomal RNA". It matches the Rfam family "Bacterial small subunit ribosomal RNA", at positions 523 to 796 of the family's 1533-position model. The record is from RNAcentral.
AUACGGAGGGUGCAAGCGUUACUCGGAAUCACUGGGCGUAAAGCGCGCGCAGGCGGCUAUUUAAGUUGGAUGUGAAAGCCUACGGCUCAACCGUAGAACUGCAUCCAAAACUAUUUAGCUAGAGUGUGGGAGAGGAAGAUGGAAUUAGUUGUGUAGGGGUAAAAUCCGUAGAGAUAACUAGGAAUACCAAAAGCGAAGGCAAUCUUCUGGAACACUACUGACGCUGAGGCGCGAAAGCGUGGGUAGCAAACAGGAUUAGAUACCCUUGUAGUCC